This 1366-nucleotide ribosomal RNA is filed under the name uncultured bacterium. RNAcentral describes it as "bacterial SSU rRNA". It matches the Rfam family "Bacterial small subunit ribosomal RNA", at positions 56 to 1417 of the family's 1533-position model. The record is from RNAcentral.
UGCAAGUCGAACGGCAGCACGGACUUCGGUCUGGUGGCGAGUGGCGAACGGGUGAGUAAUGCAUCGGAACGUACCCGGGAGUGGGGGAUAACUAUCCGAAAGGAUAGCUAAUACCGCAUAUUCUGUGCGCAGGAAAGCAGGGGACCUUCGGGCCUUGUGCUCCCGGAGCGGCCGAUGUCAGAUUAGCUAGUUGGUGGGGUAAAGGCCUACCAAGGCGACGAUCUGUAGCGGGUCUGAGAGGAUGAUCCGCCACACUGGAACUGAGACACGGUCCAGACUCUUACGGGAGGCAGCAGUGGGGAAUUUUGGACAAUGGGGGCAACCCUGAUCCAGCCAUGCCGCGUGAGUGAAGAAGGCCUUCGGGUUGUAAAGCUCUUUCGGCCGGGAAGAAAUCGCGUUGGCUAAUACCCAGCGUGGAUGACGGUACCGGAAUAAGAAGCACCGGCUAUCUACGUGCCAGCAGCCGCGGUAAUACGUAGGGUGCGAGCGUUAAUCGGAAUUACUGGACGUAAAGCGUGCGCAGGCGGUUUUUAAGAUAGGCGUGAAAUCCCCGGGCUCAACUGGGAACUGCGCUUAUGACUGGAAGACUAGAGUAUGGCAGAGGGGGGUGGAAUUCCACGUGUAGCAGUGAAAUGCGUAGAGAUGUGGAGGAACACCGAUGGCGAAGGCAGCCCCCUGGGCCAAUACUGACGCUCAUGCACGAAAGCGUGGGGAGCAAACAGGAUUAGAUACCCUGGUAGUCCACGCCCUAAACGAUGUCAACUAGUUGUUGGGAGGGUAAAACCUUUUAGUAACGGAGCUAACGCGUGAAGUUGACCGCCUGGGGAGUACGGCCGCAAGGUUAAAACUCAAAGGAAUUGACGGGGACCCGCACAAGCGGUGGAUGAUGUGGAUUAAUUCGAUGCAACGCGAAAAACCUUACCUACCCUUGACAUGCCAGGAACUUGCCAGAGAUGGCUUGGUGCCCGAAAGGGAGCCUGGACACAGGUGCUGCAUGGCUGUCGUCAGCUCGUGUCGUGAGAUGUUGGGUUAAGUCCCGCAACGAGCGCAACCCUUGUCGUUAAUUGCCAUCAUUUAGUUGGGCACUUUAACGAGACUGCCGGUGACAAACCGGAGGAAGGUGGGGAUGACGUCAAGUCCUCAUGGCCCUUAUGGGUAGGGCUUCACACGUCAUACAAUGGUCGGUACAGAGGGUUGCCAAGCCGCGAGGUGGAGCCAAUCCCAGAAAGCCGAUCGUAGUCCGGAUCGUAGGCUGCAACUCGCAUGCGUGAAGUCGGAAUCGCUAGUAAUCGCGGAUCAGCAUGUCGCGGUGAAUACGUUCCCGGGUCUUGUACACACCGCCCGUCGACACCAUGGGAGCGGGUUC